Molecule: RNA transcript, 3612 nt
Organism: Crotalus tigris (Tiger rattlesnake)
Lineage: Eukaryota; Metazoa; Chordata; Lepidosauria; Squamata; Viperidae
Gene: GTF2H5
Gene name: general transcription factor IIH subunit 5
Exons: 4
Source: RefSeq, a predicted model, not a curated record
CUUACAUUCGAGUCGGCGCUCUUUCUGCUCCCACUUCUUCCGGUCGGGUGGGAAUCAGGAGUAACCUGGUGUGUUCGUCGCCAGGGCAACGUUGCUGGACCGGAAUCUGACAUUGUGAAGAAGAUGGUGAAUGUUUUGAAAGGAAUACUUAUAGAAUGUGACCCAGCUAUGAAGCAGUUCCUGCUGUACCUGGAUGAAUCAAAUGCUCUGGGAAAGAAGUUCAUCAUACAAGACUUAGAUGAAACACAUGUCUUUGUGUUGGCUGAAAUGGUUAACUUCUUGCAAGAGAGAGUGGGAGAAUUAAUGGACCAGAACUCUUUUCCUAUUACACAGAAAUAAAAAGCGAGGCUGGAUUUGGAUACAUAUCUAACUGAGAGCCUGUAAAUUUUUCUGUGAAUCAAUUUAAGGCAGAUUGAAGUCACUAAGAGAAUCUUCAAGAACUGGAAACAAUUGAACAGAAGAAAAAAAAGAUAUGGGAAACCUAAGUGAAAGUCCUUCCUCAGCCAUGCUGGUUGGUUGAGUAGCUUCAACUGAGGCACUUUUUUUUCACCCCAACCCAACCUAACUUAACCUGCAGUAAGAGAAACAUUCACAAUCUGCAGUGUAAGACUCACUUGCAACUCCUCCAUAGCAGAGCCUUUUCAGAACUUGUAAACAAAUUGUGAUUAUUAAUGUGAUUUUUUUUUCUAUACAGUCAUGUCUCAGAGACUGCCUGGACAAGUUCCUGCAAGUUUCUUGGCUAGCUUUUUCAGAAGUGUUUUGCCAUUGCUUCCUUCCUAAGGCUGAGAGAAAUGACUGGCCCAAGGUCAUCCAGCUGGCUUUGUGCCCAAGGGGUAUUUCAUGUUAGAUCAUAUAUAGCUGAUAGCACUUGAGCUAAAGGUUUGAUAAUCAAAUCAAAAUUUACAAACAUGGCUUGAUACAAAACAGAUCAACUAUGUCUCUCUUAAGCUUGAGACCACAAAUUAUGGUUUAUGAUGUGAUUUUAAGGUCAUAAUUUGGAGUAGCACUUUGAAAAAAAGCAAAAUUCCCAAAUAUGAACUGUCUACAUGCCUGCAAAACACAGCAGUUUGCAUAUGGUUCCAUACCUGGAAGCAAAUCCUGAGACUUCCUAUUUAUUUAUUUCCAUCCUAAUAAUCUGUUUUUUAUCUGAACUUAUCACCAGUAUAACAUUAGUUUAUAUAAAAUUCUCUAGUGCAUUUUAUUACAAAAAACAUAAACCAUUGCUAGCUUAUUCAUUUCAUUCUAAAUAUUCUGAAAUAGUUUAUGGAAGAUAAUUAUACUCCUUUGUCUUCUCCACCAAGUGCUUGAUUUGUUACCUUUAAAUAUAUUAAUUGGUCAGAAAUACUGAAAAAUAACAAUGAAAGUUUUGUUGAAUGCUGAAUUUAGACAUAGCAGUUAAACCAUAAUGUAGUUCAUUUUACCUUGCUUUACACAUUCAUGAUGUGUUGAUUACAGCUGAAUUUUAUGAAUAACUCAUAUUUAUAUGAUUAGAACAAACAAUGGACUAAUGGAACAUGUAGCUAUAAAAGAUAAAAAGGUCUCUAGUUUAAGUGUGCUACCUUACUAGAAGCCUACAUAUUGUUGCACAAAAAGACCCUGGUUGAGAUCAUUUGGUUUCUUUUAGAGAGGAUAAACAUUUUCCUGUGGUGAUCAGUAGCAUAGCACCUGGCACAUAUGUUGGGGGUCAGGGGGUGUCCAAAGUUAAGUCUGUACAUACAGAUAUACAGAAUCACUAAAUUUCACACAGCUUCUUUUCACAUAAGCAUUUUUAAAUAUAUAUAUAUAUUUGGCCCUCACUGCAUUUUAUAUUGGAAUUUGCUACCUAAAAAAUUUGUUAAAUUCUGCUAUACCAUUUGAAGAGAGAAAAACUUGGACUCUAGAAACUAUUGAUUCCUUUUUAGAAUUAUGCUGUGUACAUAAUAUCAUCUGUGCUUAAUCAUUUUUUAGUAAAUCACAUGAUUACACUGACCACUAUAUAGCUAAUUUCUGAAAUCUAAAAAACAGAACAUUUUAAGCCGCUUCUGUAAGCUUAAAAAUACAUUUUUUAAAUUCUUCCACUGUGCCCAAAGAUUUCCUUUUAAUUUAAAAAGAACACAAUCAACUGACUGUCAUGGUGAUCGAUUACAGUUCAUAAUUAUAAUGCAUGAGCCACUUUAAUAUGCUUUAUAAUCUUCAAGUUUUAGAAUAAUAACUUAGUCACAAGCGUCCCCAUUUUAUGGCUGGGAAUCAGAUUCUGCACUGCAUGUAACUAGCAGCUUAUUGGUGACAAGAUAUUUGAAAUAGAUUCAAGUUCAUUGCUCUGCUUAAUGAAUCACAUUGCUAUUUGCUCUCCUUCCUAUAAUUUUUCUUUACAAUACUUUUUGUCAUUUUUGCUUUCACUUCUUACCAUGGUUGGAAGAAAAAUGAAUUUAACUCCUAGAGAAAAAGAAAACUCUUUUUCUGAUAUUUGAUCCCUUUUUGCUUUAUAUCUAAUCUUUUACAUCUGAUGUAAGACCUACUUCUAGACAUCUUUUAGCUUCAGUCUUGUCACGGAACAUACCAGGAAGAAAAGCUCUUACCCAAUUUAUUAAAAGAGUUGUUGAAUAUCUGUGAGUCACACAUUCAUUCUUUUAAAACUCAGGUUAAUAGUUGCUUUCGAAUGAAUGGCAAUGUCUAUGUAAUGUAAUGUAAUGUAAUGCCCAUGUUUCUAGCUCUGAUAGUUGAUCAAGCUGUUAGCAUUUGUCUUUUCUUAACUUUGAUAAAUUUUGUUUUCAAAAUGCCUGGCACAAUAUAAUUUGGAAGACAAAUAAUUUAGUAUGAAAAGAGACUCCUUACUUAUUAUAGGAGAAUUGUUUAAAACAGAGCUAGCCAUAUGAUAGGUCAUAUUGUUGUAUGGUAUUUUCCCCAUGAUUUCUGAAUGAGCAAUAGCUACUUUGCUAUCACCAAAAUUCAGGUUUUAUUCCAUUGGGUUUUUUUCUCCUCUGAAUUUCUCCAUCUCCCUGUCCCCAAUUCCAUUUGCACAUCUUGAUUGGGUUCCAGCACCUAUCAUUAAAAUUAAAAUCACUUGCAUUUAUGAAAACUUCUUGCCUCUGUACUGUAGCAAAUAUUAAUCUCAAAUUUAAAUUAUAUAAAUGUGUAUCAACAGGAGAUAAUUCACCUAUGCAAAAAAGUUCAACAAUGAAUGCAUUUGUUGCUCUGCCAUUGCCACAGAAAAGAUAGGAAAAAUUGGGAAGGAAUGAAAGUGAUAGCCAUAUUCUGUAGCUUUGAAGGCAAAAAUGUUUCAACACAAAAGUUUGACUAAAAGUGUUGAUAACGUGUGUUACAUCUAUAAAAUGUUUCACUUUUGCCUUUUCCUCAAAAGUUAGAAUCAAUUAACUUAAUUGGAAAGUACUUACAUUGUACAGUAAUGAAAUAAAGAUUUCAUUUAUAUUACAGCUGUUUUGUGUAGAAAAUUAGUUUUUAAGACAUAUAUGCGCAUUUCACUUAUUUAAGGUUUGUUUGAACCCUGUGUGUUUCAAACCUGGUGUAAUAACAUUUAAAGGUAAAGUUUUCUCUGAGUCAAGCUCAAUUGGUGACUUUGUUUAUACAUCCAUGUGAGUUUCUGGCCACCAAUAAAGUUGUUUGCCAUCACCA